GUUAGGAAUAUUGGACAAUGGGCGAAAGCCUGAUCCAGCCAUGCCGCGUGAACGAUGAAGGCCUUCGGGUUGUAAAGUUCUUUAGCCGAUGAUUAUAAUGACUGUAGUCGGAAAAUAAGCCCCGGCUAACUUCGUGCCAGCAGCCGCGGUAAUACGAAGGGGGCGAGCGUUAUUCGGAAUCACUGGGCGUAAAGCGUGCGUAGGCGGUUUUGUAAGUUAGGAGUGAAAGCCCAGGGCUCAACCUUGGAAUUGCUCUUAAAACUGCAAGGCUCGAAUCUCGGAGAGGAUAGCGGAAUUUCCAGUGUAGCAGUGAAAUGCGUAGAUAUUGGAAGGAACACCAGUGGCGUAAGCGGCUAUCUGGACGAGUAUUGACGCUGAGGCACGAAAGCGUGGGGAUCAAACAGGAUUAGAAACCGUGUAGUCC
This 424-nucleotide ribosomal RNA is filed under the name uncultured bacterium. RNAcentral's name for it is "partial 16S ribosomal RNA". It matches the Rfam family "Bacterial small subunit ribosomal RNA", at positions 354 to 796 of the family's 1533-position model. The record is from RNAcentral.